UACGUAGGGUGCAAGCGUUAAUCGGAAUUACUGGGCGUAAAGCGUGCGCAGGCGGUUUUGUUAGUCUGACGUGAAAUCCCCGGGCUCAACCUGGGAAUUGCGUUGGAGACUGCAAGGCUAGAAUCUGGCAGAGGGGGGUAGAAUUCCACGUGUAGCAGUGAAAUGCGUAGAGAUGUGGAGGAACACCGAUGGCGAAGGCAGCCCCCUGGGUCAAGAUUGACGCUCAUGCACGAAAGCGUGGGGAGCAAACAGG
Molecule: ribosomal RNA, 253 nt
Filed under: uncultured bacterium
Lineage: Bacteria
Description: partial 16S ribosomal RNA
Rfam family: Bacterial small subunit ribosomal RNA
Source: RNAcentral